This 403-nucleotide ribosomal RNA is filed under the name uncultured bacterium. Its description in RNAcentral is "partial 16S ribosomal RNA". It matches the Rfam family "Bacterial small subunit ribosomal RNA", at positions 28 to 526 of the family's 1533-position model. The record is from RNAcentral.
GACGAACGCUGGCGGCGUGCCUAAUACAUGCAAGUCGAACGCAGUGGGGACAGGUGAGUAACACGUGGGUAACCUCCCAUCAGAGGGGAUAACACUUGGAAACAGGUGCUAAACCGAUACUGAUGGAUGGACCCGCGGUGGAUUAGGUAGUUGGUGAGGUAACGGCUCACAAAGGCCACGAUGCAUAGCCUACCGGAGAGGGUGACCGGCCACACUGGGACGAGGACACGGCCCAGAAUCUGACGGGAGGCAGCAGUAGGGAAUCUUCGGCAAGGGACGAAAGGCGGACCGAGCAACGCCGAGUGAGUGAAGAAGGUUUUCGGAUCGUAAAACUUUGUUGUUAGAGAAGCGGUAUCUAACCAGAAAGCCACGGCUAACUACGUGCCAGCAGCCGCGGUAAUUC